This 325-nucleotide long non-coding RNA is filed under the name Physcomitrium patens. RNAcentral describes it as "long non-coding RNA (PPAT_LNC003970)". The record is from RNAcentral. Lineage: Eukaryota; Viridiplantae; Streptophyta; Bryopsida; Funariales; Funariaceae.
UUAUAAAUCUAUCUGAAAUGAGAUCUGUAAGAGGAUUAAUACAAAAACUAGAUUUAAGUACUUUACAUAAGAAAAUAUAUUUUAAACUUAUACAAGCAAAAAUACAUACAUACAUACAUAUUAUUUUAACAAUGAAAAUACAAUUUUAAGAGAACAUUAUCCACCAUGAUUUAGGGUAUGUCUGAAUUUGUUAUAUUCCACAUAUUUCGUCACCAACCGAAUAAAUAGUACACACAAAAAAAUAAUUUGAAAGUAGAACAGUUACAACACUCACGUGCAGCUACGUGGUUGAUUCUUCUCAUUGACGCAGCAUCGCCCUUCAGAA